AGCCUGUGCAUUUCCUGCCUAAAGCGGAAGCUUUCAGAAAUCUCUCCGUGGAGGUUCUUCCUUACUGUCCCAGUCAGAGUUCCCGAACCCUGUUCCAUGAGCGGACUCACGGACUACAACCCCUGGCGCCCAAAUGCGGGGCUCACGUAUACUAAGUAUUGAAGCUGCAUAACCUAAACUACCUUUCCAGAAGACACCCACCCACAUUGUCAAUGCACCACCAAAGGACAGGGAAAAGUCAUGCCCAGAGAAAUCCAAGGUUGGGAUGAAAGACAGCCAGGGAGCCAGUCAGAUUCCAGGAGCCUGCAUGGGGAGAAGGAACCUAAUAAAAGGAGUUACAGACAAGAAAUCCGUAAUAGAAGAUCUACCAUACACUUCCGGGGUGACUAUGGAAUCAGGUUUCUAUGAAACACAACACAAAGGAUUUGCUUCCAAGUAACCAUAAUGAGUUGCCAUCCCUGAGCAUUCCAAAAGCAGUGCCCAACAUCUGGCAGAACUCGGAAAGUUGCCAGGGACAAUUGUAUGAGCCGAGUAAUCUAGAAUCAAUGGUCACCUUGCCAACUAUAUAAAAUGGACUCAGAUGCCCUAGAUUCAUUUACUCCUGUGGAUUCUCUGGAGCUGUUAACCAAAACCUCAAUUUCAUAAAAUAGAACUCCUCUCUAAGUAAGCGUAAUGGUAUAUUUCAGUCACAUGAUCACUUAACCACAUUGACAAUGAUAAGCUUUUUAAAGAUGUGUAAUUGCUUUCAGGUUUUUGUUUUAUCUUUGAAAAUAAAAAAGGUUAAACCACU
RNAcentral lists this long non-coding RNA (790 nucleotides) under Fukomys damarensis (Damara mole-rat). RNAcentral's name for it is "lncRNA (ENSFDAG00000028610.1)". Lineage: Eukaryota; Metazoa; Chordata; Mammalia; Rodentia; Bathyergidae. The record is from RNAcentral.